Molecule: ribosomal RNA, 903 nt
Filed under: uncultured bacterium
Lineage: Bacteria
Description: bacterial SSU rRNA
Rfam family: Bacterial small subunit ribosomal RNA
Source: RNAcentral
AGAGUUUGAUCAUGGCUCAGGACGAACGCUGGCGGCGUGCCUAAUGCAUGCAAGUCGAGCGGGCUACGAUCUUCGGAUUGUAGCUUAGCGGCGAACGGGUGAGUAACACGUAGGUAAUCUACCCUUCAGAGGAGGACAACCUCAGGAAACUGAGGCUAAACCUUCAUACGUUCACUGGUAGGGAUACUGGUGAAGAAAGAGUUACCUUAGUGGUAGCUGCUGAAGGAUGAGCCUGCGGCCCAUCAGGUAGUUGGUGAGGUAACGGCUCACCAAGCCGAAGACGGGUAACCGGUCUGAGAGGAUGUCCGGUCACACUGGGACUGAGACACGGCCCAGACUCCUACGGGAGGCAGCAGCAGGGAAUCUUGGGCAAUGGGCGAAAGCCUGACCCAGCGACGCCGCGUGGAGGAAGAAGUCCUUCGGGGCGUAAACUCCUGGACUGGGGGACGAGUAAGGACGGUACCCCAGUAGAAAGGGACGGCUAACUACGUGCCAGCAGCCGCGGUAAAACGUAGGUCCCGAGCGUUGUUCGGAUUCACUGGGUGUAAAGGGCGCGUAGGUGGUUGUCUGUGUCUCAUGUGAAAACUCAGGGCUCAACUCUGAGAUUGCGUGGGAAACUAGGCAGCUAGAGGACGGUAGAGGGGAGUGGAAUUCCCGGUGUAGCGGUAAAAUGCGUAGAUAUCGGGAGGAACACCGGUGGCGAAGGCGGCUCUCUGGGCCGAUCCUGACGCUGAGGCGCGAAAGCUAGGGGAGCGAACCGGAUUAGAUACCCGGGUAGUCCUAGCCGUAAACGAUGGGUGCUAGGUGUUGGGGGGGUAAAGACCCUUCAGUGCCGAAGCCAACGCGAUAAGCAUCCCACCUGGGGAGUACGGCCGCAAGGUUGAAACUCAAAUGAAUUGACGG